CCCCUUCCCCACGCUACCUCUCUCUCUCUCAAGCAGCUCACGAAGCAAAGGCAAGACUCUUUAAAGCUCGCAAUCGCAACAGCUGCUCGCCAUUUAUGGAGUCAGUUGCUUUGAAUUGGUUCGUCGUGUCGGUCGUUAAACGCUUUCGUAACGGGACGUUACGUUUAUACGGUGCGUCUUGGUGCUCCGGGUCUGUUAGCUGCCGUGCACAAACAAUAAUAAUAAUAAUAAUAAUAAUAAUAAAGAAAAAUAAAUACGAUAAUACACAAUACACAAUACACACUGUGUAAGCGACAUACACAUUUUCGACUGUCUACAAGUUGCGCGCGUUAUGCAAAUCCAAAACGCAGAAGUUAAUUUGCAAAGACAGCGAAAUUAUCAAGAAAACAAACAAAAAAAAAUACUGCAGACGAGUACAACAAAA
Molecule: long non-coding RNA, 424 nt
Organism: Drosophila innubila
Lineage: Eukaryota; Metazoa; Arthropoda; Insecta; Diptera; Drosophilidae
Exons: 2
Source: RefSeq, a predicted model, not a curated record